GCAUAGCUUCUCGUGAAUAGCACAGAUAAGGUUCCGCGAACUCGCUGACCAAAUCUGAGGCUCUUAGGAGAAAGGAACAUUUACAGCGCUGUGAACCAGGAAACUGAAUGGAGGCGCUCAGGAAGAGAGAAAAUCUCUGAAAUUCACUAGCUGUGACAUUCACUAGCUGUGAAAGUCACAGCUGUGAAAGUCCAUCUAAUUAGGCCAAGAAUUGCAGGAGACGAUAAUCAGCCCUGGCUGAGGGAAGUAAGUGCUGGGGCAGGCGGAGAAGACGAGGGGUCCGCGUCCGACUUCAGCUCUCCUCCAGCCGGUCCCACUGUGUGUCUGGUACCUUUCCCAUCUCACGUUCUCGGCUGGAGUCCUGAUGGUAAUUGACUCAUGGAAGAUAUGGCCACUGCGGUCAAGAGGUUAAUAAUUUAGACAAGAGGACAGAUGAAGGGAGAGAAGGAAGAUACAGGACAACCAGCAGGUUCAGACAGCAAGGAGACGGGCUGCCUUGUGAGGGAACUGAUGGGAGUGGAGAAAAGCAUGGGAAGUUUAGCAAACAUCACUGAGUAUUACUGUGAGCCAGACACUGUUCCUGGAGCUGGAAAGUGAGAGACCCGACGCUCACAGAAACUUCUGACAAAAGGCAAGGAGGGUGCUGCUCUGGAGAAGGUGGAAGAUAAGGCUUGUGCUCAGAACUCCCCUCAGCACCCUGGACAUGUCUUGAGUGAUUCCCAUCACUGGCCAAGGCCCACCUCACUCUACCCUCAUGCUCAGACCUGCAGGACCCCAGCCAGGCCCAGAAGGGAAACACAGCUAUCACUCCUGAGCUUGCUGGACAACAUAUUACAUCCACGUGAAAGUAUGUCCUUGGAGACAUCCAAGCUGACUCUGUCUACAAGGACCUAGAAGCAGCCAAAGAUGCUGCGAAGGAGAAAGGCAAAGGAGCCUGCCAGGGCACCCACAGAGGCAUCGGCAGGUGGGACAUCGAAGUCUCAUCAUGGCUGCCCCUUGGCAGUUCUGGAGUUCUGCAGGUGUUGACACCAGGUCCCAGACCCCCAAGAUCCAUUCAUUGGUUCUUUCGGCUAACUCCAAUUUGUGCAUACCAAAUUCCAGAACAAAAAGAGAACUUGGGCCUGGUGUGCGGAAGUGCUUUGCCCAGUCCCCUAGAAACACAAUGUGAACCAGUGCAUGUUGCCAGCCUGAGCUUUUCAGCCUGAACCUCUGGACUUACACAGGCUCCACCCCUUGCCUGUCCAGGCCUCUAGACAUUCAAGGUCUGGCUCUACAAAGCCGCCCCUGACCUCUUUUAACUGAAGCCAAGCACUGUCUUGGGGAAUUUCUUCUAGCCCUUCCCAAAUUCCACCAGGUAUUUAGUUGUCUGGGUACACAUCUUAUCUGUAAACUUCUGAACAACAGAGAUAUCUUGUUCAUCUGUGCUCACUGACCACCCACUGUCCCCGCCCCCAGCUCCUAGCCCUGUACCUUGCAUACAGCAGACAUUAACCAUUUUCUGGAUCAAAAAUCCAAGAUAAUUACCCCCCCGCCAAGUCCUUCUGAUCAGCCACUAAGGGGUCCUGGCAAAUGGUUGAAGGAGAAGAAAACAAGGCGUGUUUCCAUCUCCUUGGCAACCACGUGUAUAGUUUCACAAGAGAAUGCCAUCAGCGAUGAAGUCAGAGGGUCCUCGGAUAUAAGCUCUUCCCCCAUCCUCACUGGACAUUACCUUAAAGUUCCUCUUACACUUUCUUGGUGACACUUCUGUCCCUCACUCCUACCCAUCCAACAAAAACCUUUGGUUGACACGUUAAACACUUUUUCAAAACCCCAGUUUCCUGAACUCGAGGAAAAACAGGCUUCCCCUGCCUGGGGUGCUGGGUGCUGCCUGGCCAGCCUGUGGGGCUGGCCCCCUCUCCAGCACAUCCAUCCUGGCAGACAGCUAAGCCUCUGCGGUCUGGACCCCAGUGAGGCCUCCCGGGGAUUUGCAUAUAAUCACACACAAUGCUGGGCACAACAAAGCCACUCCACACAGCAGAGCCUUCUCAGCUGAGUGUAAGGUUUAAUCUCCCUAAUACAAAAAGUUUCUGCUUUGCUUUGGAUGGGCUCGGGGACUCUUGCUAAUGAUGCUAAACAAAUAAUCGCCCUUUAUUCCCCUCUGGAGUCUUUGCCCUACGCACUGUGGCCGCCCAGGCCCCGGUUGUUGUGGUUUACGGGCCAGGCCUGCACCUGCGCUGUUUGUGUGAGAUCACCGGAUGCCCAGCAAAACUCUUUAAAGAGAGCCAAGCACAGCGGCGGGGGUGGGUGGGGCUCAGGAGGUGCCAGGCAGACACCAGCGCUAGGCUUCCUAGACUCCCGGAGCACCCUGUUCUUCCCCUCUGGAAGCACUCACCCCAACACGCCCUUCAAAAUCCAGCCCCUUCUUUACUAGCUUCCCAAGUUAACCGUCUCCCUUUUCCAGGAUUCAGCCCCCUCGUACUUCCCUUCCCAGGCUCACCCAGCCCCUCCACCUACCCACUCCUAGCCCAGCCUUCUAGGAAUUACUCUGAACAUCACUUCGCUUACUUCAGCACUUCACCCCUAGGACUCAGAGUUUGCCCCAGCAGUGACCCUCUAAGACACUAUUUCAGAGAGAUGCUUACUAUCUUUAGUCUUG
Molecule: long non-coding RNA, 2635 nt
Organism: Bos taurus (domestic cattle)
Lineage: Eukaryota; Metazoa; Chordata; Mammalia; Artiodactyla; Bovidae
Source: Ensembl